UACGGGGGGGGCAAGCGUUGUUCGGAAUUACUGGGCGUAAAGGGCUCGUAGGUGGCCAACUAAGUCAGACGUGAAAUCCCUCGGCUUAACCGGGGAACUGCGUCUGAUACUGGAUGGCUUGAGUUCGGGAGAGGGAUGCGGAAUUCCCGGUGUAGCGGUGAAAUGCGCAGAUAUCGGGAGGAACACCAACGGCGAAGGCAGCACUCUGGGCUGGAACUGACGCUGAGGAGCGAAAGCGUGGGUAGCAAACAGG
This 253-nucleotide ribosomal RNA is filed under the name uncultured bacterium. RNAcentral describes it as "partial 16S ribosomal RNA". It matches the Rfam family "Bacterial small subunit ribosomal RNA", at positions 524 to 776 of the family's 1533-position model. The record is from RNAcentral.